This 446-nucleotide ribosomal RNA is filed under the name uncultured bacterium. Its description in RNAcentral is "partial 16S ribosomal RNA". It matches the Rfam family "Bacterial small subunit ribosomal RNA", at positions 329 to 792 of the family's 1533-position model. The record is from RNAcentral.
AUCCAGACUCCUACGGGAGGCAGCAGUGGGGGAUAUUGCACAAUGGGGGGAACCCUGAUGCAGCGACGCCGCGUGGGUGAAGAAGCGCCUCGGCGCGUAAAGCCCUGUCAGCAGGGAAGAAAAUGACGGUACCUGAAGAAGAAGCCCCGGCUAACUACGUGCCAGCAGCCGCGGUAAUACGUAGGGGGCAAGCGUUAUCCGGAUUUACUGGGUGUAGAGGGGGCGCAGACGGCGAUGCAAGCCAGGAGUGAAAGCCCGGGGCCCAACCCCGGGACUGCUCUUGGAACUGCGUGGCUGGAGUGCAGGAGGGGCAGGCGGAAUUCCUGGUGUAGCGGUGAAAUGCGUAGAGAUUAGGAAGAACACCAGUGGCGAAGGCGAUUCUCUGGACUGUAACUGACGCUGAGGCUCGAAAGCGUGGGGAGCAAACAGGAUUAGAUACCCGUGUA